Molecule: ribosomal RNA, 441 nt
Filed under: Brevibacterium casei
Lineage: Bacteria; Bacillati; Actinomycetota; Actinomycetes; Micrococcales; Brevibacteriaceae
Description: bacterial SSU rRNA
Rfam family: Bacterial small subunit ribosomal RNA
Source: RNAcentral
GACGAACGCUGGCUGCGUGCUUAACACAUGCAAGUCGAACGCUGAAGCCUGGUGCUUGCACCGGGUGGAUGAGUGGCGAACGGGUGAGUAACACGUGAGUAACCUGCCCCUGACUUCGGGAUAAGCCCGGGAAACUGGGUCUAAUACCGGAUACGACUGCCGGACGCAUGUCUGGUGGUGGAAAGUUUUUUCGGUUGGGGAUGGGCUCGCGGCCUAUCAGUUUGUUGGUGAGGUAAUGGCUCACCAAGACGACGACGGGUAGCCGGCCUGAGAGGGCGACCGGCCACACUGGGACUGAGACACGGCCCAGACUCCUACGGGAGGCAGCAGUGGGGAAUAUUGCACAAUGGGGGAAACCCUGAUGCAGCGACGCAGCGUGCGGGAUGACGGCCUUCGGGUUGUAAACCGCUUUCAGCAGGGAAGAAGCGCAAGUGACGGUAC